GCCCUUUUCCGGUUGAUCCUGCCGGACCUGACUGCUAUCGGAUUGAUACUAAGCCAUGCGAGUCAUUGUAGCAAUACAAGGCAGACGGCUCAGUAACGCGUAGUCAACCUACCCUAUGGACGGGGAUAACCUCGGGAAACUGAGAAUAAUACCCGAUAGAACAUUAUACCUGGAAUGGUUUAUGUUUCAAAUAAUUUAUNNNCGUAGGAUGGGACUGCGGCCUAUCAGUUUGUUGGUGAGGUAANGNCCCACCAAGACUAUUACGGGUACGGGCUCUGAGAGGAGUAGCCCGGAGAUGGGUACUGAGACACGGACCCAGGCCCUAUGGGGCGCAGCAGGCGAGAAAACUUUGCAAUGUGCGAAAGCACGACAAGGUUAAUCCGAGUGGUUUCUGCUAAAGGAACCUUUUGCCAGUCCUAGAAACACUAGUGAAUAAGGGGUGGGCAAGUUCUGGUGUCAGCCGCCGCGGUAAAACCAGCACCUCAAGUGGUCAGGAUGAUUAUUGGGCCUAAAGCAUCCGUAGCCUGCUUUGCCAGUUUUCGGUUAAAUCCAUACGCUUAACGUAUGGGCUGCCGGAAAUACUACAAAGCUAGGGAGUGGGAGAGGUAGACGGUACUCGGUAGGAAGGGGUAAAAUCCUUUGAUCUAUUGAUGACCACCUGUGGCGAANGCGGUCUA
RNAcentral lists this ribosomal RNA (677 nucleotides) under uncultured archaeon. RNAcentral's name for it is "bacterial SSU rRNA". It matches the Rfam family "Archaeal small subunit ribosomal RNA", at positions 1 to 679 of the family's 1478-position model. The record is from RNAcentral.